CUCAAUCCGGGAGUAGAGAAGCACGGGGGAAAUGAUGAGAGAGCCAUGGAAAGUGCAUUUAGACAGCCAGGUGGAGAGGAAAUGCUUUUAUGGAACUAUUUCAUGAGGUGCCUCGUAUGAGUGACUUUCUAGAAACUGGAUGAGUAGCUGAAAGAGAAUGAAGUAUUUGGGGUGAAUCGUGAAGUCUGACAAGUGAGGAGAGUAGAGAGGUUUGGAUGGAGUAUUCCUGGUUGGCAUGAUUGCCAGACGGGUGUGUUUCUUCUGGAUAUCUGCUUCGUGUCUGCUGCAUGAACUUCCUCUCUUUGCUUUUAAGAACAUCUUACUAUAUCUCACCUAUAUUUUAGCUCUGAUGUCUUAUUUAAAUGACAUGUACUGUACUUGCUUUA
This is a long non-coding RNA of Trichomycterus rosablanca, 386 nucleotides long. RefSeq lists it as uncharacterized. The record is from RefSeq and is a predicted model, not a curated record. The transcript is spliced from 3 exons. Lineage: Eukaryota; Metazoa; Chordata; Actinopteri; Siluriformes; Trichomycteridae.